This 1251-nucleotide long non-coding RNA is filed under the name Theropithecus gelada (gelada). Its description in RNAcentral is "lncRNA (ENSTGEG00000021014.1)". Lineage: Eukaryota; Metazoa; Chordata; Mammalia; Primates; Cercopithecidae. The record is from RNAcentral.
CUCUCCUUGGCCUCCCAAAGUGCUGGGAUUACAGCGUGAGCCACCGCUUCCGGCCCAUAUUACAGUUUCAUAGUGUUUUCGAGGACUCGUGGUAGGAGAAAUGUGUCUUCUUUGCACUUGGGGUCUCAAUGUCUCAGUCCUGCCCUAUGUCCUGAGACCCCAAGAGGCUUUCCCAAGGUCACGCAGGGAAUCCGCAGAGAGGCAGGGCUGGACUCCAGCAUCCUGACUCCGCAGUCCGUGCUCUGUGCUGCAGAGACCUGUUGCGUAACACUAAGUAACUGUGGAUUGUCUAACCUUUUAUGAAAUUUCCAGUUGGUCUUUUGCUACCGGCCAGCAGUCCAGUUGGUGGGAGUGAUGAUGUCGGUCUUCUGGGACGUCCAGUGGACAGAUUUUCCCCAGGUUUCUGGAUGCAGCCCCAACUAGCAAAAGUGCUACACUCCUGCACCGGAGACACUGACACAGAGGUCACGAAAAUGCUCACACAAGACGUGCAAGAAUUGUUCGCGCUCCGCACACGGAACAAGGGCCCUGCCUCCCCCUCCCCCAAUCUUCGCCCUGGUGGCCAGGCCCUGGGCUCCGCCCCUUCCCCACCAGACCGGGGGAGGGGUCCUCCUCGGCAUGGAGGUAGUGGAUGCUGGGCUGUGGAGACGUCGGCAGAAAGAGGCGGGAUGGCUGGGCGGCGGGGCGGAUGCUGGCGGCCCGGGUCUGGCCACCUGGGUCAGCCGCACGCCCCCGCCCCGGGCUGGCCGGACCUCGUAGCCCAGGUCCCACCACGCCGUGAAGUUUGCGGAAAGUUUUGCAGUUGCUUCCCCGCCCGCGCCAGCCGGGGAGUUGUGACGCAGCGUCUGGGGCUCCUGGCCGGGACAGAAGAGAGGGAAGGCGAGGUGGGGAGACUGGGAAACAGAGCAGCAAGAGAAAGGGCGCACGCUGGGGUCCUCCUGGACCCGGCCGAUCCACCUCUCCGCCACCCCUUUCUCUCCCGACGCUCUCGCCCCAGCCCCGCACCUCCUCCCCUUCCCCUCCCACGCUGCCCGCUUCCCUUUCCCUCUACCCCUCAAACCCUCCUCCCCGGUUCUGCGCUCCUCCCUCCGCCCUCCCUCCGCCCGGGCUGCCUCCUCCCUCCUCCUCCCCGGGAGGCAUCACUUCGUCCCGACCCGGAGGAGGACGCGAGCCCCUUGCGGGCGGUCAUCACAGCCCAGCCUCGGGGCUGCCACCACGCGUUGCGCCCGUGCGCCCUCGGUCCCCGCGUCC